Molecule: ribosomal RNA, 464 nt
Filed under: uncultured bacterium
Lineage: Bacteria
Description: bacterial SSU rRNA
Rfam family: Bacterial small subunit ribosomal RNA
Source: RNAcentral
UCCAGACUCCUACGGGAGGCAGCAGUGAGGAAUAUUGGUCAAUGGGCGUAAGCCUGAACCAGCCAAGUCGCGUGAGGGAUGAAGGAUCUAUGGUUCGUAAACCUCUUUUAUAAGGGAAUAAAGUGCGGGACGUGUCCUGUUUUGUAUGUACCUUAUGAAUAAGGAUCGGCUAACUCCGUGCCAGCAGCCGCGGUAAUACGGAGGAUCCGAGCGUUAUCCGGAUUUAUUGGGUUUAAAGGGUGCGCAGGCGGAAGAUAAGGUCAGCGGUAAAAUUGGGGGGCUCAACCUCUUCGAGCCGUUGAAACUGGUUUUCUUGAGUGAGUGAGAAGUAUGCGGAAUGCGUGGUGUAGCGGUGAAAUGCAUAGAUAUCACGCAGAACUCCGAUUGCGAAGGCAGCAUACCGGCGCUCAACUGACGCUCAUGCACGAAAGUGUGGGUAUCGAACAGGAUUAGAUACCCCAGUA